CGGGAAGUCGAUCCGUGACACAGGGUCUACAAGGGACAUGGUUGUUCUUGUCUCCGAUGGCGUGUCCGACUACGCCAAGCAGCUUCUCAAGGCUGAUGGUUGGAUGGUGGGAGCUUAUAAGUCUGUUGGCUAAUCCUAAUCAAGUGCGCCCACAGAGAUUUUGGGGAGUCUACACCAAAUUAAAAAUAUUUAACAUGACAAGGUAUAAGAAAGUCGUCUAUCUUGAUGCUGAUACGAUAGUGCUGAAGAAUAUUGAUGAACUGUUCAAA
Dioscorea cayenensis subsp. rotundata (Guinea yam) is the source of this 269-nucleotide long non-coding RNA. RefSeq lists it as uncharacterized. NCBI's taxonomy places the organism in Eukaryota, Viridiplantae, Streptophyta, Magnoliopsida, Dioscoreales, Dioscoreaceae. The transcript has 3 exons. The record is from RefSeq and is a predicted model, not a curated record.